This 496-nucleotide ribosomal RNA is filed under the name uncultured bacterium. Its description in RNAcentral is "partial 16S ribosomal RNA". It matches the Rfam family "Bacterial small subunit ribosomal RNA", at positions 29 to 507 of the family's 1533-position model. The record is from RNAcentral.
AUGAACGCUGGCGGCGUGCCUAAUACAUGCCAGUCGAGCGAACGGACGAGAAGCUUGCUUCUCUGAUGUUAGCGGCGGACGGGUGAGUAACACGUGGAUAACCUACCUAUAAGACUGGGAUAACUUCGGGAAACCGGAGCUAAUACCGGAUGAUAUUUUGAACCGCCUGGUUCAAAAGUGAAAGACGGUCUUGCUGUCACUUAUAGAUGGAUCCGCGCUGCAUUAGCUAGUUGGUAAGGUAACGGCUUACCAAGGCAACGAUGCAUAGCCGACCUGAGAGGGUGAUCGGCCACACUGGAACUGAGACACGGUCCAGACUCCUACGGGAGGCAGCAGUAGGGAAUCUUCCGCAAUGGGCGAAAGCCUGACGGAGCAACGCCGCGUGAGUGAUGAAGGUCUUCGGAUCGUAAAACUCUGUUAUUAGGGAAGAACAUAUGUGUAAGUAACUGUGCACAUCUUGACGGUACCUAAUCAGAAAGCCACGGCUAACUACGUG